CCUACGGGAGGCAGCAGUGAGGAAUAUUGGUCAAUGGACGAGAGUCUGAACCAGCCAAGUAGCGUGAAGGAUGACUGCCCUAUGGGUUGUAAACUUCUUUUAUAUGGGAAUAAAAUGUUCCACGUGUGGGAUUUUGUAUGUACCAUAUGAAUAAGGAUCGGCUAAAUCCGUGCCAGCAGCCGCGGUAAUACGGAGGAUCCGAGCGUUUUCCGGAUUUAUUGGGGUUAAAGGGAGCGUAGGUGGGUUGUUAAGUCAGUUGGGAAAGUUUGCGGCUCAACCGUAAAAUUGCAGUUGAAACUGGCAGUCUUGAGUACAGUAGAGGUGGGCGGAAUUCGUGGUGUAGCGGUGAAAUGCUUAGAUAUCACGAAGAACUCCGAGUGCGAAGGCAGUUCACUGGACUGCAACUGACACUGAGGCUCGAAAGUGUGGGUAUCAAACAGGAUUAGAUACCCUUGUAGUC
Molecule: ribosomal RNA, 460 nt
Filed under: uncultured bacterium
Lineage: Bacteria
Description: partial 16S ribosomal RNA
Rfam family: Bacterial small subunit ribosomal RNA
Source: RNAcentral